UAUACUUUAAAUCCUCCAUAACUCUCCAACACUGCAGUUCAACUAUUUGGUUAAAGCUGUUCAACACACACAUGUUCAUAUGAAAUAUUGGUGAGAGGGCCCGUGCAUUAUAAAGAACAGAGGAACAGAUGAUCGGUGUUGGAUGUGAAGAUGGGACACACCUUGCUCUCUCUACUGGGUUUUUUCUUGCUGAAUUCACUGAACCGUGGACAAGCUCAAG
Molecule: long non-coding RNA, 220 nt
Organism: Eleginops maclovinus (Patagonian blennie)
Lineage: Eukaryota; Metazoa; Chordata; Actinopteri; Perciformes; Eleginopidae
Exons: 3
Source: RefSeq, a predicted model, not a curated record